AUGCAGAGCACCGUCGUGCUUUACACAUGGAUGGUCAGGGGCCACCUCCAUCCCAUGACACAGUUCGCCCACCAUCUCACCGCACAUGGCGUUCCUGUCACCGUCGCCGUCGCCGACGUCCCGUCUACAGGCAAGUCCUCUGAGACCAUUGCCGGCCUCGCCGCAUCCUAUCCUUCCGUCUCCUUCCACCUACUACCGCCGUCAGCGACCCGUUCCGCCCAGACGGCUGACCCCGAUGCCGAUCCAUUCAUCGCCCUUGUCGCUGACCUCCGCGCCACCAACUCCGCCCUCCUCGCCUUCCUGAGGUCCCUCCCGUCCGUCAAGGCUCUAGUCACCGACUUCUUCUGCGCCUACGGGUUUGAUGCCGCCGCAGAGCUCGGCGUCCCGGCCUACCUUUUCUUCACCUCCGCUGCGUCGGUCCUUGCUGCCUACCUGCACAUCAACGUCAUGCGCUCCACUGUCUCCUUCCGGGACAUGGGGCGCUCCCUGCUGCACUUCCCCGGAGUCCACCCAAUUCCGGCGUCCGACUUGCCGGAAGUGCUGCUCGACCGCGGCGACAGCCAGUACAAGACAAUCCUUAGCCUUAUGGAGCAGGUGCCAAGAUCUAAGGGCAUUCUGUCGAACACGUUCAAGUGGCUGGAGCCCCGCGCCGUCAAGGCGAUAAAAGACGGGACUCCCCGUCCCGGCGAGUCAGUACCGAAACUGUUCUGCGUCGGUCCAUUGGUCGGCGAGGAGCGGGGAAGCACCGUGAAGCACGAAUGCCUGAGAUGGCUAGACAAGCAGCCAGCGCGGAGCGUGGUAUUCCUCUGCUUCGGGAGCGCGAGCUCGGUGCCCGCAGAGCAGUUAAAGGAGAUCGCCGUGGGACUGGAGAAGAGCGGGCACGCCUUCUUAUGGGCCGUGCGAGCACCCGUUGCGCCGGACGCCGACGCAACGAAGCGGUUCGAGGGACGGGCCGAGGCGGCGGUGGAGCCGCUGCUGCCGGAGGGAUUCUUGGACAGGACGAGGGGACGCGGGAUGGUGGUUUCUUCCUGGGCGCCGCAAGUGGAGGUGCUCCGGCACCCGGCGACCGGCGCGUUCGUGACGCACUGCGGAUGGAACUCGACGCUUGAGGCUGUUGUCGCCGGGGUGCCGAUGCUGUGCUGGCCCAUGUACGCGGAGCAGGGGAUGAACAAGGUGUUGGUGGUGGAGGACAUGAAGCUUGGGGUGGCCAUGGACGGCUACGACGAGGCGACCGUGAAAUCUAGGGAGGUAGAGGCGAAAGUGAGGCUGGUCAUGGAGUCCGAGCAUGGGAAGCAGAUCAGGGAGAGGAUGGCGAUAGCGAAAGUGAUUGCAGCCGAUGCGCUGGAGACCGGUGGGUCCUCAGCGGCAGCAUUUGUUGACUUCCUGGAUGAUCUCAAGAUUUCCAUGCUAGAUGUUAUUUAA
RNAcentral lists this ribosomal RNA (1422 nucleotides) under Triticum aestivum (bread wheat). RNAcentral's name for it is "partial small subunit ribosomal RNA". Lineage: Eukaryota; Viridiplantae; Streptophyta; Magnoliopsida; Poales; Poaceae. The record is from RNAcentral.